AAUGCAGUUGCUGGGUUAUAUGGUAACUGCAAAUUUUGUUUUGUAAGAAACUGUGAAACUGUUUUCCACAGUGGCUGUGCCAUCUUACAUUCCCACCAGCAAU
Molecule: microRNA precursor, 103 nt
Filed under: Marmota monax (woodchuck)
Lineage: Eukaryota; Metazoa; Chordata; Mammalia; Rodentia; Sciuridae
Rfam family: mir-562 microRNA precursor family
Source: RNAcentral